RNAcentral lists this long non-coding RNA (1119 nucleotides) under Numida meleagris (helmeted guineafowl). Its description in RNAcentral is "lncRNA (ENSNMEG00000014690.1)". Lineage: Eukaryota; Metazoa; Chordata; Aves; Galliformes; Numididae. The record is from RNAcentral.
AGGAGAACUCUAUGGCUGCCAUUUCAUAUGUGCUCUUAGCUGGAAUUUACUAGCAAAAACUAAUCUGUGUUAAAAUUAAGUGUUAUUUUUGACUGGUCGGGUUUUUUUCUGCAUUUGUUACCCAGUUCAUUUUUCCUUGUUGCUGUACAAAUGCUUUUGUUUGGAUGUGAAAUGGGUUGGUGAAGGACAGGAAGAAGCAGCUGUCAAGCAGGACUACUUUUUGUGAGGGUAGUGCUGCCUUAAAUUGCAUGUUAAUUUACAGUCAUUUCUUACUGAUGUUGUUGUAACAGAGUCAACCACUGGAGCAGAGAAGAGGGCUAGACUCUUUUUCUUAAACUGCCAUCAUGCAGCCUCUCCUGUGUGACAGCAAAGAACAGCAAGGACAAGGGCUGUAUGCUGGGAAACUUUGGAGUGUAAGAUUCCCUUAGACACACUGGCCUCCAGGUGGGGAAAGAGGUUUUACAUAACAUGAAGUUGACUCACUCCCUCCAGCCUUCUAUAUGACAUCCUUCCUAGAGGCCACAGAAUAUUUUGGGAAUAGAAAUUUGACAUGAUGGACUCAAAGCUUCAGUCCCAGAUUUACAGCAACAUGGUGUGCUGUUGAUUUUUCACAAAGAAGUCACCAGAAACAUAGCUCCGAGAAGCUUUUGCUCUGAAAGAAAUGACGUGAUUGCAGUUCAGAAGCUAAGGAAGCUGCCAAAAAACAUAAGUUCUUCUCACGAGGUGGAAAACCAGUGGGAAGAGUUCAAUACAUUAUUUGAAGAAGGAAUGGAAUUGAAAGUAUUCCUAGAACAUGGGACAUAUACACAGCCAAAUGGGAGAGCUGUAGUUCUGUCUACAGUCAACAGAGUAAUGAAGAAAGAUGUCUAUGAGUGCAAAAUACCACCUAUGAUAUGAACACUUAUAUUUCCUGAAAUGGAAAUGGAACAGAGAAAUAGCCAGUUUCACUGAGCCCUGAAGGCUGUACAUGCCAUAGCUUUGUUAAGAAAAUGUCGGUUUAGGCCUUUUUUUUUUAAGAAAAGGUAAGAGGAAAUACUAGGAAGUGUUUGUAUUAUUCCUUCAGCCAUAAGUGCUUGUAUGUGGAGAGAGUGUAUGCUAAUGGAAGCAUGUAUGGAAACU